This is a long non-coding RNA of Bombus impatiens (common eastern bumble bee), 853 nucleotides long. RefSeq lists it as uncharacterized. The record is from RefSeq and is a predicted model, not a curated record. The transcript is spliced from 2 exons. NCBI's taxonomy places the organism in Eukaryota, Metazoa, Arthropoda, Insecta, Hymenoptera, Apidae.
GAAUCUUAUGCAGACCCCUCCUUGCGACUAGUGAAACCUAUUGAUAUUUUCGAGACACGGAAAUAAAAAGGAAGAAAGCUUCAGAAGAGGAAAAGAGAGAAUUUGAGGAGUGCUAAAAUACAGGCACCGCUGAAAAGUACUAGAGUGAAAUGAAAUGUUAAAAUACACAGUGUUCUACUUUAAGCAUCGACCGUCCUGACGUUCCACUGACUUUCAUUGCAUUGAUGAAACUACACCAUCGUAUACACAGCACUUUCAGAGUAUGAAAUUUUAAUAAUACCAUUUCUGUGAGAAGUAGCCAUUUAUAGACACAAAUAGUCCAUUUAUAGAUUAUAAACUUAUUAUGCUUACUAAAUUGUGUAAUUGAGAACACGAUAUAAUGUUAUACUAUUAGCAAUAUUAGAGAAAGAAGAAACAAAGAUAUUAGAGAACACAGAAAUCUAGAAAUUACAAUGUAAACUGUACUUACUGUCGAAUACAAGCAUCAAGAUUGCAAAUAUAAAGAUCAAAUAAGACUGAUAACAAAUCUAGUAAUUAUGAAAAAUUCAUAGUUUACAUGUUUAAUGUAUUAAAAAUAGCCGAGACAUAGCAGCUAUCUGUUAGACAGGAUUACGUACUAUCAGAGUACUUCGUUUACAAAAUAUUUAUCGAAAAGAUGGGAACAAUAUGAAAUAUACAAAAGUGAAAGGUUAUAGUAAGGAAAUAGAAUAAGUAAAUUAUAUAAUUUCUUAGAAUAUCUAAAUGCAUAUUUCAUUAUGGUAUCUCUUAUUGGAGGAACAAAAAGCAGAGAAAUGCCAUUAAAAAUUAAAUUCGCACGAGUUAUUUGAAGAAGCUGAGUCAUUGUAAAAAAAAA